AUUAGGAGGUGGAAACAUAAAUGCUGGGGAAGGAAGAAGCGCAAAUGACAUUGCAACCAUGAUGAACCUUGCUGGUCUUCAUGGAAAUGGUGCUAGUAUUGCUAAUUCAGCUGCUGCUGCCUCUUCUUUAGGAGGCAAUCCCAAUGGCUUAGGAGGGUUUCAACAACUUCAAUCUAAUAUGGGGUAUCAAGGAUCAUCUGCAGGAGGCCUCCCUAGUGGUGGAUAUGCAACAGGGCAACAUCCAUCAUCUAUGCUGAUGAA
RNAcentral lists this unclassified non-coding RNA (261 nucleotides) under Hevea brasiliensis (rubber tree). Lineage: Eukaryota; Viridiplantae; Streptophyta; Magnoliopsida; Malpighiales; Euphorbiaceae. The record is from RNAcentral.